CAGCAUCACAAUGACAGGUGGUGGAUAAGGGCAGACAAAUCAGCCUAUGUCCGUUACUGAAAGGAUGCUGCAUUUACAUGCUGGGAUAUUGAGCACAAGUAGAUUUCUGGGAAGACACUGGGAAUAGAGUGAGGCCAUUUAUGAGCUGCCAGAGUCUGCUCGGCUCCAGGAAAGGUCAGGGAGUCGAUGUGCCCGAGAUCGGUCUCAAGCAACAGAGGAUGAGAGUCUGCAGACGAACGCCCUAGCCCCUUGUCCUUCAGGGAACAGAAGGAAGAGACAGCCACCUUCGUGUCUGAGUAAUGAGUCAUAGCGGGCGCCUGAUCUCUUCUCUCAAUGUUUACUAAGAGAAUGGAGUGAGAGCAGAGGAGAAAGGAAUUGCAGAGGAAAUGUUUGCUUCUCUGUUUUAAGCUCGUUGGAAAGGAUAAGUUAAGAAGGAAUAAGAAAGAUAUCCCCUUUUUUAGGUCAAAAUAGAACUGUUCUCUUUGCAGUAGUCAUAGUGCUCAGAACACCAAAGACACUUUCCUGGGUGACAGAGUCAUGAGACUGCUGAAAACAAUGUAUGGAUGAGCACAUAAUGCUGUGUUGGGCUCUUUUGAAUGUGUCUGUGUGUGUUCUUCCCCCAGCCAACAGUGAGCUUCAGGAGGGCAGGGAGUCUGCUCCAUCUUUGUGACUCCCCCAGCCCCAGUUGGGACCACUGUGCUCCAUAGCAGUAGCUCAGUGGAACUUGUUAAGUUGAACUGGGUUCAAUUUAUGACGUCAUCCCUGAAGAACAAGAGAAAGAUCCAACUAAAAGAAAUCGUCAUAUUAUCAACAGCCACCUUUUAAUGAACACUAACUAUAUGCCAGGCAUGAACCGAGAGAGUGGAGGCCCUGGGAUCCACACCAUCUGAGGGCUGGCUAAAGAAACUAGGACUGCAUUUGGCUCAAACAAGAGGAGACUCAAUGGGAUAGGGGCAUGACCCGC
Molecule: long non-coding RNA, 964 nt
Filed under: Equus caballus (horse)
Lineage: Eukaryota; Metazoa; Chordata; Mammalia; Perissodactyla; Equidae
Description: lncRNA (ENSECAG00000046753.1)
Source: RNAcentral